GGUCGACGGUAACAGGAAGCAGCUUGCUGCUUCGCUGACGAGUGGCGGACGGGGGAGUAAUGUCUGGGAAACUGCCUGAUGGAGGGGGAUAACUACUGGAAACGGUAGCUAAUACCGCAUAACGUCGCAAGACCAAAGAGGGGGACCUUCGGGCCUCUUGCCAUCGGAUGUGCCCAGAUGGGAUUAGCUAGUGGUGGGGUAACGGCUCACCUAGGCGACGAUCCCUAGCUGGUCUGAGAGGAUGACCAGCCACACUGGAACUGAGACACGGUCCAGACUCCUACGGGAGGCAGCAGUGGGGAAUAUUGCACAAUGGGCGCAAGCCUGAUGCAGCCAUGCCGCGUGUAUGAAGAAGGCCUUCGGGUUGUAAAGUACUUUCAGCGGGGAGGAAGGCGUUGAGGUUAAUAACCUCAGCAAUUGACGUUACCCGCAGAAGAAGCACCGGCUAACUCCGUGCCAGCAGCCGCGGUAAUACGGAGGGUGCAAGCGUUAAUCGGAAUUACUGGGCGUAAAGCGCACGCAGGCGGUCUGUCAAGUCGGAUGUGAAAUCCCCGGGCUCAACCUGGGAACUGCAUUCGAAACUGGCAGGCUAGAGUCUUGUAGAGGGGGGUAGAAUUCCAGGUGUAGCGGUGAAAUGCGUAGAGAUCUGGAGGAAUACCGGUGGCGAAGGCGGCCCCCUGGACAAAGACUGACGCUCAGGUGCGAAAGCGUGGGGAGCAAACAGGAUUAGAUACCCUGGUAGUCCACGCCGUAAACGAUGUCGACUUGGAGGUUGUGCCCUUGAGGCGUGGCUUCCGGAGCUAACGCGUUAAGUCGACCGCCUGGGGAGUACGGCCGCAAGGUUAAAACUCAAAUGAAUUGACGGGGGCCCGCACAAGCGGUGGGAGCAUGUGGUUUAAUUCGAUGCAACGCGAAGAACCUUUACCUACUCUUGACAUCCAGAGAACUUUACCAGAGAUGCUUUGGUUGCUUCGGGAAACUCUGAAAACAGGUGCUGCAUGGGCUGUCGUCAGCUCGUGUGUGAAUGGUGCUUAAGGUCCCGCAACGAGCGCAACCUUAUCCUUUGUUGCAGCGGGUCGGGCCGGAACCUCAAAGAGACUGCCAGUGAUUAACUUGGAAGAAGGUGGGAAUG
Molecule: ribosomal RNA, 1132 nt
Filed under: Enterobacter sp. 8RB2
Lineage: Bacteria; Pseudomonadati; Pseudomonadota; Gammaproteobacteria; Enterobacterales; Enterobacteriaceae
Description: bacterial SSU rRNA
Rfam family: Bacterial small subunit ribosomal RNA
Source: RNAcentral